ACAACGCCACGUACCAUAGUUCCUGCCACGUACUGUCAUAUCGAUAAUGCAUUUUGGAGUCGUUCCCAACAUACAGUCUUUGUGGCCAAACAGGUGAUGACGCUGCUGGUAGUGUCGGUCCGUGAUUGGAUACUAGGGCGUGUACACUCGCCCACAACCUGUUAACGCUAGAAAGGUCUGCCUAUGACGGGGAUGGUGACAAGUAUUUAAAAGACAACAGGGUGGGGAUCUCUCUUUCAUUACCAACACUGUGCACGUGGGGCUAUAACACACUCGGGGAUCUCUUUCUGGAACUUUCUUCUGGCUUCAACUACGUCAAAACUUUCUCCAUAAACAAGUCAUGAUGCAUGGACAAAUAGUGCUGCCUGUGAUAGUCUGCCUGGUAUCGAUGUUCGGCUCUUAUACGGACGCAAAGGACGACUCCGGUGAGGUACCAAUUUCCGGUGGCAACCUUCUUCGUGAAAUCUUGGAAAGUCGGGACUUUACAGAUGUCGAAAAAGAAAUACUGAAAUACAUUAUAUUCUCUGAUGUCAAAGAUUUUGUUGAAAGAAAGGCAGCAUCUGCGGAAAGCCAAGAAGAAUCUUACAGUGGUGUUGAAAGAAAACGCAGUCAUCUUUGGCCCUACCGUCAAAACAACAUUCCUAUUCAGACCAGAGUAGCAUUUGGACGGCAGCUGAUGAGAACCUCGAAUGGCCAUGGUUCCAAUUAAAACCUCCUCAGAUACGGGAAAUAAGCUAGAACGUUUUAAAUAGCAAGGUUAAAACAAAAUUAUAUUAUCGGGACAAAUUAUCAGAUUUCUGUUCAAAAACAUUUCUUUGUAGUAACCAUCAAAUGUUGGAGUCUGAGAAUAUGUUAUAGCGACAUAUUGUAAACUUUACAUGGAGUCUAUUGCUACUUCGGAAAUCAUCGACGAUUAUGUAUACACAUAUAUCACGUCAGUUAAGUGACUUUAUUUUUGUAGACAUGGACAUUAAUUCUGUUGAUAAUCCCAAUUUUUUAACUGAUAAAAAAAUCGCACGUGCUUGGUUCCAUCAGAAUGAAAUAAAGAUUUAUAUUGCUAUC
Molecule: long non-coding RNA, 1062 nt
Organism: Pecten maximus
Lineage: Eukaryota; Metazoa; Mollusca; Bivalvia; Pectinida; Pectinidae
Exons: 2
Source: RefSeq, a predicted model, not a curated record